RNAcentral lists this ribosomal RNA (253 nucleotides) under uncultured bacterium. RNAcentral's name for it is "partial 16S ribosomal RNA". It matches the Rfam family "Bacterial small subunit ribosomal RNA", at positions 524 to 776 of the family's 1533-position model. The record is from RNAcentral.
UACGUAGGGGGCAAGCGUUGUCCGGAAUCAUUGGGCGUAAAGAGCGUGUAGGCGGCCAGAAAAGUCCGCUGUGAAAACUCGAGGCUCAACUUCGAGCUGUCGGUGGAAACUUUCUGGCUAGAGUCCGGAAGAGGAGAAUGGAAUUCCUGGUGUAGCGGUGAAAUGCGUAGAUAUGCGGAGGAACACCGAUGGCGAAGGCAGUCCCCUGGGCCUGUACUGACGCUCAUGCACGAAAGCGUGGGGAGCAAACAGG